GUCAGAAAAUUGUGAAGUAAGCAGCAGAGUAACUGAGAGCAGGGAGGGAGAAGACGCUGCCAUUCUUUUAGUGCAGUGGGCUGAGGCAAAAAGGGCAUUGUAAUGGUAAAUCGCAUGCAGAAAGGAAGAAAAGACUGAUAAUCAAUCACAAAUGAAGCAUUCCUUUGGAUUUUGGCAAUUUGCUGCCCAGGGACUUUUAAAUCCAUACAGUUUUUUGGGGAGGUCUUUCUUUUUUUUACAACUUUGAUAUCCGAUAGGGAGGAAGAGAACUCUUUACAAACCCAUCAUGCUCAGGAUACCUGGCAGCAGGGAAAGCAGAGUGCUGAAAACACCAGUAAAACAUCACGGUUCUGGAGGAGAACCAGCGUGCUGAGAUGAUGAUGGGAAAUGUUUUUAACCCAUCGCAUUGGGCUCAGCUCUGAAGACAGGAAAAUUCUCUUUCAGACUCUUCCUUUCUCACGUGUUGAGGGAUGACUCGUGGUGGGCUUUUAAGGACUCGAAUUUCCAGCUGCUGCGCUCUGUGAUUGCUUGAGUGGUUUUUGUGUUUGACUGAGUAUGUGAUAGGACAGCUGAGGAUGUUAGACAAUAUUAACACCAGCAUACCGUCUCCAGAGGCCAGCAUUAGCCACCGAGGAAGAUACAUCUACCUGGAGGCACUGCUUCAAGGAGGUGCUCCAUGGGGAUUCACCCUGAAAGGCGGACUGGAGCACGGGGAGCCAUUAAUCAUCUCAAAGAUUAUGGGACAGAGAGAGAAUCCGUUUGAAUGCAGUAGUUCUUUCUAACCAUCAGGAGAUGGUGCUUAUUUGGGAUGCAAAUUUCGGACACAUCUUCAGAGCAAAGACUGUAUUAGAGGUUAAAAAGCACAAUGAGUGGAUUUGUGAGAGGCCCAAAUGCAUGAAAACUGAUUCCUGUGCAGUUCUUUGAGAAGGCAGAUUUGAAAUAUACCAGAAAGUUCCCCCAAAGCAAUGGGAGCAACAGAUGGAAAUGUUGUUACAAA
This is an RNA transcript of Pogoniulus pusillus (Red-fronted tinkerbird), 997 nucleotides long. It is a transcript of the gene named protein Shroom3-like, with no coding region annotated. The transcript has 2 exons. The record is from RefSeq and is a predicted model, not a curated record. NCBI's taxonomy places the organism in Eukaryota, Metazoa, Chordata, Aves, Piciformes, Lybiidae.